AAACCACUUGGGGAAUAAUAGGGCCUACGCCCGGCUGCUCUGCAGCUGGCUCGGGCCCUAAGAAAGAAACAAAGAAAAACCCCUACAGGAAUAACAGGGCCUACGCCCGGCUGCUCUGCAGCUGGCUCGGGCCCUAAUAACUAGGACCCCGUUGGGGCACUGGCGGGCCCGAGCUGUGUCGCGUCCCCCCCCCAACGCGCUGCCUGCCCGUCCCAUUUGUGUCCUCUGGCCAUCGCCCUCUUUGGUAACGCCCAUCACUGCAAAGACCCUUUUCCUUCAUCGGCGUUUGCUGUUCUUCCUGCCAGUGCGUGUUGCUUUCACUUACACUUGCCACAGCCAGCCUCGUGAGUGCCUAGCCUAUUGGAUAUCACUGUCACCUACACAGGACAGUCAUUACCUUUCUAUUAAUACUUUGUUUUUUAAUUUCACAUUAAUUUCCAUAUUGUAUAAACAACUGGAAAAAACUUGAGCCCCUGCCCCUGUAUAAUCAUGUGCACGUCUCUGUUCUAGCUCUAAGGUGAAUCUUCACUGCUCAUGUUCUCCUCAGAAGCAGUCACCUCACUCCCCUCAGGUUACUGUACACAUGCACCAACUGCCUGCUUCAGGUUUGGAUGGAGCUUCAUGGUUGUCUUUUGGAGAAAUGACCAGUCAAGUUGUGUUUGAAAUUUGAUUUUUUUCAGGGGCAAAAGGAGCCUCUGCAUUCUUGUCAAAUAUGUAAAUAGCAUGUUUUUGCAGGUGCUAAAAACCAGACUCUGAGUGUGUGUGUGUGCGUGUGUGUGUGUGUCUGUGUGUGUGUGUGUGUGUGUGUGUGUGCGUUCAAGUCACAUGACAUAUUUAACCGGAUGUAGCUGCAAGACGGAGCCUCGUUGACUCUCCGUUUCAAUUUAUCUCAAAAGUGAGGACCUCAACCUAUAUACCAGUUUUUAAAUUGUGUUGAUAGGCCAAAUAAAACCAGAGUUAUGAUAAAUUAUGUCCGCGAUACUUGUUUUCUGCUUAUUUUGAUCACGUUCGGCGCUCGAUCGCGCUGUAUGAGACAGGAAAACAUAGCAUGCAGACAUUAGCGACAGGUCUUACAGGCGGAAAAGGCUUGCCAAAGGAAAAAAAAAAACACACCACAACAUCUCUCCUAUUGGUGGAAAACUUCACCACAACAACCAAUCCAAAAUUAUAUGGUGACUGAUUGACAAGGGGCGGGAACUUACGUUCUUCCUGCAAUAUGAGAAGGGAGGGAGGGACUCUCAGCAGGGAUGCAGUCUGGGACACGUAGUUGCAAACCUAGCGACUUUGUUGUUAGAUUCAAUGACUUUUCAGACCCCCUAACGACUUUUUUUAGAAAGAAAGUGACUUUUAUCGACUUCUUCUGGAGUUUAGAGACUCUGACAUGAAGCAGGCUUUCCUUACUGAGGAGUUAGCAACGCUGCUAAGGGUGCAGAGCCACACAUGCGCUCCGAGCUCUGCAUGGGAGACUGAAGCUGACAGAGCUGCAGCAGUUAGCAGGUUUCACCCUCAGAGACCACCAGGGGUUCAUGUUGAGGCAUUUUAAAAAUUUUUUUUGUGUGCCAUAGACACUGUCAGCACAAUCUGCAGUUACACUAACAAAAAUGCUGCAAAAAACAAAGAAUUAUGGAAAAAUUACACAUGGACUGACAUAGAGGAGGAUCUACACAAGUUUUUUACAUCAUGUUUUACAUCAUGCAUCAUUUACAUCAUGUUUUUUUGUAGUGGCAUAAAUAAAAAGUGACAUUUGUGAGACUAUACAGUGUUUUGUAAAUAAUUUUACAAAGAACGCCUGGGCCAUUGCCUGCAUUUUGAUGAAAAUAGAGGUAAAUCACUAUGUUCUUUGUUUAAAAUUUGCAUAUGUUUUGAAGUUUACAAUUUUUAUUUGAAGUUUAAGUUUUAAAAACAGUUCAUCACACAUAUUUGUGGUUUAAUUUCACAUUAAUUUCCAUAUUAUAUAAAUGACUGGAAAAAACUUGAGCCCCUGCCCCUGUAUAAUCAUGUGCACGUCCCUGUUCUAGCUCCAAGGUGAAUCUUCACUGCUCAUGUUCUCCUCAGAAAUAGUCACCUCACUCCCCUCAGGUUACUGUACACAUGCACCAACUAUCUGCUUCAGGUUUGAAAUGGAGCUUCAUGGUUGUCUUUUGGAGAAAUGAACAGUCAAGUUGUGUUUGAAAUUUGAUUUUUUUCAGGGGCAAAAGGAAGCCUCUGCAUUCUUGUCAAAUAUGUAAACAGCAUGUUUUUGCAGGUGCUAAAAAACAGACUCUGAGUGUGUGUGUGAAUCUGUGUGUGUGUGUGUGUGUGUGUGUGUGUGUGUGUAUGUUGGCGUGUGUGUAUAUGUGUGUGUAUCCUGCAGUACUCUGUACUCCUGCAGUGGCCAAAAAGACUUUUAAGAAUGUGGAUUUUUGGGUCAUCUUUGGCGCCCCUAGAACUGCAGUACUCUGUACUCCUGCAGUGGCCAAAAUGACUUUUAAGAAUGUGGAUUUUUGGGUCAUCUUUGGCGCCCCCUAGAACGUAAACCGUGGGGUGCAGCGUCAUGAUUUUUACAACUUUGAAUGGGCAUGGGGUGUAGAUUGCCCUGAGCAAAUUUGGUAUCGGUGGGACGAAAGCCUUAGGAGGAGAUAGCCACAUUCCAAUGUGUGCGAAUCGGCAAAAAAUGCAAAAUAGCCCUUUAACCGUACAUUAUACAGAUACGCGCUCUUUGACUUUUUCGUAGAUCUAAUUGAGAUACACAUGAUUGUCAAUUUUUGUGUCAAUAUGACAAAGCGUUCAGGCGUGACACUCAACAAUGUGUAUUUUCAUGUAAGGGGACAAGAAAAAAUUGACUUUUUUCUCCUACCAUGGGGGGGCGCUCUUUUGGGGAGUAAAAAUUCCUUCACAAAUGUGUUGAUGGCUGGACAUUGCAUCAUCCUAGAAAACUUGGAGGCCAGUGAGGACAAAAAUAAAAAGUUAUAAGACUUUUAAAAAUGUGGAUUUUAGGGUUAUCUUUGGCGCCCCCUAGAACGUAAACCGUGGGGUGCAGCGUCAUGAUUUGAAUAACUUUUAAUGGCCAUGGGGUGUAGAUUGGCCUGAGCAAAUGUGGUGCCGGUGGAAUGAAAGCCUUCGGAGGAGUUAGCGAAAUUCCAAUGUGUGCGGAUCGGCAAAAAAUGCGAAAUAGCCCUUUAACCGUACAUUUGACAGAUACGCCCGCACUGACUUUUUUGUAGAUCUUAUUGAGAUACAUGUGUGUGUCAAUUUUUGUGUCAUUUUGACAAAGCGUACAGGCGUGAAAGUCAAUAGUGUGAAUUUUCACCUUAGGGGGCGCUAUGGAGCCAUUUUGCAUUUUCUUGUUUGGGCGACUUCGGAAUAUCAAAUUUUUCACCAGGCCCGGUCGUCCUGCCAAAUUUCAUGAGUUUUCGCCAGUGGGAAGUGGGCCAUUUUCCAGUUCAAAGGGGAGGAAAAAGAAAAAAGAAACAAAGAAAAACCACUUGGGGAAUAAUAGGGCUCUCGCAGCUGCUUAGCAGCUACGCUCGGGCCCUAAUAAUAACAAAAGAAGGAAACAUGCAGGAACAAGAGGGCUCUCGCAGCUGCUUAGCAGCUACGCUCGGGCCCUAAAAAC
This 3595-nucleotide long non-coding RNA is filed under the name Xyrichtys novacula (pearly razorfish). Lineage: Eukaryota; Metazoa; Chordata; Actinopteri; Labriformes; Labridae. The record is from RNAcentral.